RNAcentral lists this small nucleolar RNA (137 nucleotides) under Octodon degus (degu). RNAcentral's name for it is "Small nucleolar RNA U109 (ENSODEG00000024759.1)". It matches the Rfam family "Small nucleolar RNA U109". The record is from Rfam by way of RNAcentral. Lineage: Eukaryota; Metazoa; Chordata; Mammalia; Rodentia; Octodontidae.
GUGCAUCCGACAGAAGUCCUGCUUCUCUUUAAAGAGCACGGAUUUAUCCACACCAUGCAACAUGAAUGAAAUGAGAAGUUUCCAGGGCUGCCAGCUUUUCCGUUGAGGUUUUGAGGCAGUAUGUCUCUUCUACAAUA